RNAcentral lists this ribosomal RNA (208 nucleotides) under uncultured Burkholderiales bacterium. Its description in RNAcentral is "partial 16S ribosomal RNA". It matches the Rfam family "Bacterial small subunit ribosomal RNA", at positions 568 to 775 of the family's 1533-position model. Lineage: Bacteria; Pseudomonadati; Pseudomonadota; Betaproteobacteria; Burkholderiales. The record is from RNAcentral.
UGCGCAGGCGGUUGUACAAGACGGAUGUGAAAUCCCCGGGCUCAACCUGGGAAUGGCAUUCGUGACUGUACGGCUAGAGUGUGUCAGAGGGGGGUAGAAUUCCACGUGUAGCAGUGAAAUGCGUAGAUAUGUGGAGGAAUACCGAUGGCGAAGGCAGCCCCCUGGGAUAACACUGACGCUCAUGCACGAAAGCGUGGGGAGCAAACAG